UCCCUGGUGGCUCAGAUGGUAAAGCAUCUGCCUGCAAUGCGGAAGACCCGGGUUUGAUCCCUGGGUUAGGAA
RNAcentral lists this transfer RNA (72 nucleotides) under Bos taurus (domestic cattle). It matches the Rfam family "tRNA". Rfam says of the family: Transfer RNA (tRNA) molecules are approximately 80 nucleotides in length. Their secondary structure includes four short double-helical elements and three loops (D, anti-codon, and T loops). Further hydrogen bonds mediate the characteristic L-shaped molecular structure. tRNAs have two regions of fundamental functional importance: the anti-codon, which is responsible for specific mRNA codon recognition, and the 3' end, to which the tRNAs corresponding amino acid is attached (by aminoacyl-tRNA synthetases). tRNAs cope with the degeneracy of the genetic code in two manners: having more than one tRNA (with a specific anti-codon) for a particular amino acid; and 'wobble' base-pairing, i.e. permitting non-standard base-pairing at the 3rd anti-codon position. Lineage: Eukaryota; Metazoa; Chordata; Mammalia; Artiodactyla; Bovidae. RNAcentral also lists the same sequence under 1 other name. The record is from Rfam by way of RNAcentral.